AAUAGCUCUCAAUAGUAAGUUCUCUGGAAAAACUUCUGCUUCAUUGCAUAGAUAAAAUACUCAACAAAACAAGUCAUACAUUUCUGAUAAUAACAAACAUUUUCCUGGGAACAGUCUGCUCUCCAUUAGCAUCACAGAGAUACACAUAUACUAACACCACUUCAAGCUCUUCUAUUAAUUACUUGACCUAGAAUUGCUACUUGAAUGACCCACAAGAUGCAAACUUUAAGCAUCCCAAUUUGAAAAGCUUUCUGAGGUCUGCCCUAGCAAAUGCACAUUUCAGCUCUCAUUACCCCACUCAAUACUCAAGCAUGAGUAUACUGUUUUUUAUUUUUAUUUUUAUUGCAUAUAUAAAUCACCCCAGAAACUUGAAGAGUCAAAAAAAAAAAAAAACACACAAACUAUCUUGGCUAUUGGAGGUGUAAUCUAUUUACUCUUUCUGUUUUUAUUUUUUCUUUCCCAUAUCAUAAAAAGAAAUGCAAAAGAGAACAACAUUUAAGGGAACAAUCCUAGUCAAUUUUUGCUUGUAAAUGUAAACCCAAAUCAUAUUAGCGUUUCUAUGUAUGUAAGAAAACCAGAAGCAGGAGGCAGAAAGUAGAGAUCAUUAACUGGCUAAUCAUGUAUUUAGAUUGAAAAGAUAAAAUGUGAGAUGGAGGGAAACCUUAUCUGCCAAUUCAUUUG
This 681-nucleotide unclassified non-coding RNA is filed under the name Hevea brasiliensis (rubber tree). Lineage: Eukaryota; Viridiplantae; Streptophyta; Magnoliopsida; Malpighiales; Euphorbiaceae. The record is from RNAcentral.